Molecule: long non-coding RNA, 594 nt
Organism: Mus caroli (Ryukyu mouse)
Lineage: Eukaryota; Metazoa; Chordata; Mammalia; Rodentia; Muridae
Source: RefSeq, a predicted model, not a curated record
CAAAGGAAUGCCUGAACCUGGACAGUAGGAGAGCUGAGGCUGCAUUUCUGUUUGAGGCAUAGCUGGAGGGAACGUUUGAUGAUCUAUGCAAAAGAAAUUCUGGAAGGAAAUGAUUCUACAGAGACGAAAGUAUGUGAGGAAGGAUGCUAAAAUAAAGUCCUGGCAAGCCAAAUCCACAACACAGAAGAACAACAGAUCAAAGAUGAGGAGCGUGGCCUCGUUCCCAUAAUACAGCACACUGCUGAAAGAAUGGCCUUCAUCUACAAAAAACAUGUGCAAGAUGUGUCAAACAGUGACAGAAAAGUGUCUGCAUGGCCGUGGACUGACCUCCCAUGAAUGUAAUAUCCAAAACAUCUGUGGGACAGCAGGAACACUGACACCUGCAGAAAGAGAAAAAAAAGGAGCAAUCAGGAGCUUUUCUAAAAAACUACCAGGAAGGACAAAGGGGGAAUGUUAAGGACAUUUCCUUAUACUGUUUUGCCAACAAUACUUUACCACAGAAAACUGCUGCGCUGUCUGAGAAAUUACUUGAGAUGAUAAUAACACUUAUGCAGUGUUAAUAAGCAGCAUCAUAUGAUUAUAUGACAGCUCAUA